This 246-nucleotide long non-coding RNA is filed under the name Mytilus galloprovincialis (Mediterranean mussel). The record is from RNAcentral. Lineage: Eukaryota; Metazoa; Mollusca; Bivalvia; Mytilida; Mytilidae.
CACUUUUCCGUGGAAAGACCUAUUGGAUUUCUUCUUCUGAUUAUUUUUUUUUUCUUCCGCCUAAUUUUUUUCCUUCGCUGUUUUUUGUUUCGCAAGAUGUCGCCUAGAUUUUUAGAAUAUGAUAUCAAACAGUUUAUACGCUUUUGAAACCAACUCUGCUUAACCGAAUACUUUCCCAAAUAAGAGUUAUCUCCCCGAACACUAUUUUUCUUGUUAUCUCUAAGGCUUCGCAACCGUAUAAGAAAC